CCUUACUAUUAGUGUCGUCCAAGUACUCGUGCCAGAAGACUCGGUAAGGCGAGAGACGCAAACGUUAGUCGUCUUGAUCAGGCGUAAAGGGUUUGUAGGCGGCUUUAAGUAUCUUAUUUUUAGUUUACUAUUUUAAUGUUUAUAAUUAUAAUUGAAUUUUUAUUUUUCCUUCAUUUAUAAAUUUUACUAAAUUAAUAAUUUUACAUUAAAAAAAUAAAGAAAGGAUCAAUUAAAGCUAGAAUCUAAGAGAGGUUAAAACAAUACUUUAGGAAGGAGUGCUAACCGUAGAUAAUGAGCAGAGUGUUAAGGGCGAAGGCAUUUAUCCAA
RNAcentral lists this ribosomal RNA (327 nucleotides) under Trichaptum abietinum. Its description in RNAcentral is "Hirschioporus abietinus partial small subunit ribosomal RNA". It matches the Rfam family "Bacterial small subunit ribosomal RNA", at positions 479 to 732 of the family's 1533-position model. The record is from RNAcentral. Lineage: Eukaryota; Fungi; Basidiomycota; Agaricomycetes; Hymenochaetales; Trichaptaceae.